Molecule: small RNA, 65 nt
Filed under: Flavobacterium lacus
Lineage: Bacteria; Pseudomonadati; Bacteroidota; Flavobacteriia; Flavobacteriales; Flavobacteriaceae
Description: Flavo-1 RNA
Source: RNAcentral
UUCUAGCCCUGAAUGACUGACUAUCCCACGCUUUCGCGGGGAUAAUAGGUAGGGCAGGAACAUGG